This 465-nucleotide ribosomal RNA is filed under the name uncultured bacterium. RNAcentral's name for it is "partial 16S ribosomal RNA". It matches the Rfam family "Bacterial small subunit ribosomal RNA", at positions 28 to 507 of the family's 1533-position model. The record is from RNAcentral.
GACGAACGCUGGCGGCGUGCUUAACACAUGCAAGUCGAACGGAAAGGCCCCCUUGUGGGGUACCCGAGUGGCGAACGGGUGAGUAACGCGUGAGUAACCUACCCUUGACUUUGGGAUAACUUCAGGAAACUGGGGCUAAUACCGGAUAGGAGCUCCUGCUGCAUGGUGGGGGUUGGAAAGUUUCGGCGGUUGGGGAUGGACUCGCGGCUUAUCAGCUUGUUGGUGGGGUAGUGGCUCACCAAGGCUUUGACGGGUAGCCGGCCUGAGAGGGUGACCGGCCACAUUGGGACUGAGAUACGGCCCAGACUCCUACGGGAGGCAGCAGUGGGGAAUAUUGCACAAUGGGCGGAAGCCUGAUGCAGCAACGCCGCGUGCGGGAUGACGGCCUUCGGGUUGUAAACCGCUUUCGCCUGUGACGAAGCGUGAGUGACGGUAAUGGGUAAAGAAGCACCGGCUAACUACGUG